Molecule: ribosomal RNA, 767 nt
Filed under: Streptomyces sp.
Lineage: Bacteria; Bacillati; Actinomycetota; Actinomycetes; Kitasatosporales; Streptomycetaceae
Description: bacterial SSU rRNA
Rfam family: Bacterial small subunit ribosomal RNA
Source: RNAcentral
GGGAUUAGUGGCGAACGGGUGAGUAACACGUGGGCAAUCUGCCCUGCACUCUGGGACAAGCCCUGGAAACGGGGUCUAAUACCGGAUACGACACUCUCGGGCAUCCGAUGAGUGUGGAAAGCUCCGGCGGUGCAGGAUGAGCCCGCGGCCUAUCAGCUUGUUGGUGAGGUAAUGGCUCACCAAGGCGACGACGGGUAGCCGGCCUGAGAGGGCGACCGGCCACACUGGGACUGAGACACGGCCCAGACUCCUACGGGAGGCAGCAGUGGGGAAUAUUGCACAAUGGGCGAAAGCCUGAUGCAGCGACGCCGCGUGAGGGAUGACGGCCUUCGGGUUGUAAACCUCUUUCAGCAGGGAAGAAGCGAAAGUGACGGUACCUGCAGAAGAAGCGCCGGCUAACUACGUGCCAGCAGCCGCGGUAAUACGUAGGGCGCAAGCGUUGUCCGGAAUUAUUGGGCGUAAAGAGCUCGUAGGCGGCUUGUCACGUCGGUUGUGAAAGCCCGGGGCUUAACCCCGGGUCUGCAGUCGAUACGGGCAGGCUAGAGUUCGGUAGGGGAGAUCGGAAUUCCUGGUGUAGCGGUGAAAUGCGCAGAUAUCAGGAGGAACACCGGUGGCGAAGGCGGAUCUCUGGGCCGAUACUGACGCUGAGGAGCGAAAGCGUGGGGAGCGAACAGGAUUAGAUACCCUGGUAGUCCACGCCGUACACGGUGGGCACUAGGUGUGGGCGACAUUCCACGUCGUCCGUGCCGCAGCUAACGCAUUAAGUG